UACAGAGGGUGCAAGCGUUGUUCGGAAUUACUGGGCGUAAAGCGUGCGCAGGCGGUUCGUUGUGUCGGCGGUGAAAGCCCCGGGCUUAACCUGGGAAUGGCCGUUGAAACUGGCGAACUGGAGUGUGGCAGAGGGGGGUGGAAUUCCGCGUGUAGCAGUGAAAUGCGUAGAGAUGCGGAGGAACACCGAUGGCGAAGGCAGCCCCCUGGGCUAACACUGACGCUCAGGCACGAAAGCGUGGGGAGCAAACAGG
Molecule: ribosomal RNA, 253 nt
Filed under: uncultured bacterium
Lineage: Bacteria
Description: partial 16S ribosomal RNA
Rfam family: Bacterial small subunit ribosomal RNA
Source: RNAcentral